GAAACUACUUGAUCUUCUACUUCUGUGAAGAUAAAUAUGUAACACAAAAGAUCAGAUGAUUUACAAAUUCUUCAUAUGAUUAAUGAUUGCGAACAAAACACAGAUAAAGUUGCCUAAAAAAAGCUGCCUGCAUGAACGUGAUAGAGCAGAUAACAUGCUCAUUACAGCAUUUAAGUUUCCAUCAAUUUCAGGGAGCUCCCCUGUUUUGUAGAUGUUACACUUAUCUCUCUCCCACCUGUGGUUCAUGUCGAAGGAUCCCCUUUCCAAAGAGUGGAUUAUGAAAAUCGACUCUUAUUCUCUCAAGACUGAAGGAAAUGAAUA
Molecule: unclassified non-coding RNA, 321 nt
Filed under: Hevea brasiliensis (rubber tree)
Lineage: Eukaryota; Viridiplantae; Streptophyta; Magnoliopsida; Malpighiales; Euphorbiaceae
Source: RNAcentral